RNAcentral lists this ribosomal RNA (536 nucleotides) under uncultured bacterium. RNAcentral describes it as "bacterial SSU rRNA". It matches the Rfam family "Bacterial small subunit ribosomal RNA", at positions 777 to 1316 of the family's 1533-position model. The record is from RNAcentral.
AAUAGAUACCCAGGUAGUCCACGCCCUAAACGAUGUCAACUAGUUGUUGGGGAUUCAUUUCCUCAGUAACGUAGCUAACGCGUGAAGUUGACCGCCUGGGGAGUACGGUCGCAAGAUUAAAACUCAAAGGAAUUGACGGGGACCCGCACAAGCGGUGGAUGAUGUGGAUUAAUUCGAUGCAACGCGAAAAACCUUACCUACCCUUGACAUGCCACUAACGAAGCAGAGAUGCAUUAGGUGCCCGAAAGGGAAAGUGGACACAGGUGCUGCAUGGCUGUCGUCAGCUCGUGUUGUGAGAUGUUGGGUUAAGUCCCGCAACGAGCGCAACCCUUGUCUUUAGUUGCUACGCAAGAGCACUCUAGAGAGACUGCCGGUGACAAACCGGAGGAAGGUGGGGAUGACGUCAAGUCCUCAUGGCCCUUAUGGGUAGGGCUUCACACGUCAUACAAUGGUGCGUACAGAGGGUUGCCAACCCGGCGAGGGGGAGCUAAUCCCAGAAAACGCAUCGUAGUCCGGAUCGUAGUCUGCAACUCGAC